CCUACGGGUGGCAGCAGUGGGGAAUAUUGGACAAUGGGGGGAACCCUGAUCCAGCCAUGCCGCGUGUGUGAAGAAGGCCCUCGGGUUGUAAAGCACUUUCAGUGAGGAAGAACGCCUGGUGGUUAAUACCCAUCAGGAAAGACAUCACUCACAGAAGAAGCACCGGCUAACUCCGUGCCAGCAGCCGCGGUAAUACGGAGGGUGCGAGCGUUAAUCGGAAUUACUGGGCGUAAAGCGUGCGUAGGUGGCUUGAUAAGCCGGUUGUGAAAGCCCCGGGCUCAACCUGGGAACGGCAUCCGGAACUGUCAAGCUAGAGUGCAGGAGAGGAAGGUAGAAUUCCCGGUGUAGCGGUGAAAUGCGUAGAGAUCGGGAGGAAUACCAGUGGCGAAUGCGGCCUUCUGGACUGACACUGACACUGAGGUGCGAAAGCGUGGGUAGCAAACAGGAUUAGAUACCCUUGUAGUC
This 465-nucleotide ribosomal RNA is filed under the name Vreelandella stevensii. Its description in RNAcentral is "partial 16S ribosomal RNA". It matches the Rfam family "Bacterial small subunit ribosomal RNA", at positions 338 to 795 of the family's 1533-position model. Lineage: Bacteria; Pseudomonadati; Pseudomonadota; Gammaproteobacteria; Oceanospirillales; Halomonadaceae. The record is from RNAcentral.